RNAcentral lists this long non-coding RNA (215 nucleotides) under Elaeis guineensis (African oil palm). RNAcentral's name for it is "long non-coding RNA (EGUI_LNC032848)". Lineage: Eukaryota; Viridiplantae; Streptophyta; Magnoliopsida; Arecales; Arecaceae. The record is from RNAcentral.
AAUACAUGUCCACAAUUACAAGUCAUCUUGCACAUGAUCCUGGCUCACAUGGACAGGAUUACAAUCCCAAAUGAAAAACAUGAGCUUGUUGAGAAUGAUAAAAUCUCUGUCACUACAGCAGAACAUGCAAUCAAGUCUAUAAUUAGCCAAAAAAUAUGAAGACUGAGAUUUAACUCUAUAUCAACUAACAAAUUAGCUUGAAUGGCAAAGUCAGA